RNAcentral lists this ribosomal RNA (1167 nucleotides) under Racocetra castanea. RNAcentral's name for it is "bacterial LSU rRNA". It matches the Rfam family "Bacterial large subunit ribosomal RNA", at positions 1412 to 2575 of the family's 2925-position model. Lineage: Eukaryota; Fungi; Glomeromycota; Glomeromycetes; Diversisporales; Gigasporaceae. The record is from RNAcentral.
UAGCUGAUGGGAAGCAGGUGAAGAUUCCUGCACCGUCGUAAGAAUGCGAUGGGGGGACGGAUCGCGGAAGGUUGUCCGGGGGUUGGAAGUCCCGGUCCCUGCAUUGGAGAAGGCGCUUAGGCAAAUCCGGGCGCGCAAUUCAAGGGUGCGAGGCGAGCGAACUUCGGUUUGCGAAGCAAUCGGAAGGGGUUCCAAGAAAAGCCUCUAAGCGAAAGUCUUACGAGACCGUACCGCAAACCGACACAGGUGGGCAGGGUGAGAAUCCUAAGGCGCUUGAGAGAACUCGGGUGAAGGAACUCGGCAAAUUAGCACCGUAACUUCGGGAUAAGGUGCGCCCUGGUAGGUUGUAGCGCCUCGCGCGUGAAGGCCGAAGGGGUUGCAGAUAAAUGGUGGCUGCGACUGUUUAAUAAAAACACAGCACUCUGCAAAGAUGAUGAAUCGACGUAUAGGGUGUGACGCCUGCCCGGUGCCGGAAGGUUAAAUGAUGGGGUGCAAGCUCUUGAUUGAAGCCCCGGUAAACGGCGGCCGUAACAAUAACGGUCCUAAGGUAGCGAAAUUCCUUGUCGGGUAAGUUCCGACCUGCACGAAUGGCGUAACGAUGGCCACACUGUCUCCUCCCGAGACUCAGUGAAGUUGAAAUGGUUGUGAUGAUGCAAUCUACCCGCGGCUAGACGGAAAGACCCCAUGAACCUUUACUGUAGCUUUGCAUUGGACUGUGAACCGGUUUGUGUAGGAUAGGUGGGAGGCGAAGAAGUCGGAACGCUAGUUUCGAUGGAGCCGUCGUUGAAAUACCACCCUGAUCUGUUUGCGGUUCUAACCUAGUCCCGUGGACCGGGUCGGGAACCGUGCAUGGUAGGCAGUUUGACUGGGGCGGUCUCCUCCUAAAGGGUAACGGAGGAGCGCGAAGGUACGCUAGGUACGGUCGGAAAUCGUAUCGAUAGUGCAAUGGCAAAAGCGUGCUUGACUGCGAGACGGACAUGUCGAGCAGGUGCGAAAGCAGGUCAUAGUGAUCUGGUGGUUCUGUAUGGAAGGGCCAUCACUCAACGGAUAAAAGGUACUCUGGGGAUAACAGGCUCAUACCGCCCAAGAGUUCAUAUCGACGGCGGUGUUUGGCACCUCGAUGUCGGCUCAUCUCAUCCUGGGGCUGUAGCCGGUCCCAAGGGUAUG